UACGUAGGGGGCGAGCGUUGUCCGGAUUUAUUGGGCGUAAAGAGCUCGUAGGCGGUUUGGCAAGUCGGGUGUGAAAACUCCGGGCUCAACUCGGAGACGCCACUCGAUACUGCCAUGACUUGAGUCCGGUAGGGGAGUGCGGAAUUCCUGGUGUAGCGGUGAAAUGCGCAGAUAUCAGGAGGAACACCGGUGGCGAAGGCGGCACUCUGGGACGGUACUGACGCUGAGACGCGAAAGCGUGGGGAGCGAACAGG
RNAcentral lists this ribosomal RNA (254 nucleotides) under uncultured bacterium. RNAcentral describes it as "partial 16S ribosomal RNA". It matches the Rfam family "Bacterial small subunit ribosomal RNA", at positions 524 to 776 of the family's 1533-position model. The record is from RNAcentral.